Molecule: ribosomal RNA, 253 nt
Filed under: uncultured bacterium
Lineage: Bacteria
Description: partial 16S ribosomal RNA
Rfam family: Bacterial small subunit ribosomal RNA
Source: RNAcentral
UACGGAGGGUGCAAGCGUUGUCCGGGUUUAUUGGGUUUAAAGGGUGCGUAGGCGGUUCUUUAAGUCCGGGGUGAAAGCCCACUGCUCAACAGUGGAACUGCCCUGGAAACUGGAGAACUUGAGUACAGACGAGGGCGGCGGAAUGGAUGGUGUAGCGGUGAAAUGCAUAGAUACCAUCCAGAACCCCGAUUGCGAAGGCAGCUGCCUAGACUGUAACUGACGCUGAGGCACGAAAGCGUGGGGAGCAAACAGG